Molecule: ribosomal RNA, 118 nt
Filed under: Salmo salar (Atlantic salmon)
Lineage: Eukaryota; Metazoa; Chordata; Actinopteri; Salmoniformes; Salmonidae
Source: RNAcentral
GCUACGGCCAUAUCAGCCUGGGUACGCCCGAUCUCGUCUGAUCUCGGAAGCUAAGCAGGGUCGGGCCUGGUUAGUACUUGGAUGGGAGACCGCCUGGGAAUACCAGGUGCUGUAAGCA